This 505-nucleotide ribosomal RNA is filed under the name uncultured bacterium. RNAcentral's name for it is "partial 16S ribosomal RNA". It matches the Rfam family "Bacterial small subunit ribosomal RNA", at positions 28 to 507 of the family's 1533-position model. The record is from RNAcentral.
GACGAACGCUGGCGGCGUGCCUAAUACAUGCAAGUAGAACGCACAGUUUAUACCGUAGCUUGCUACACCAUAGACUGUGAGUUGCGAACGGGUGAGUAACGCGUAGGUAACCUGCCUGGUAGCGGGGGAUAACUAUUGGAAACGAUAGCUAAUACCGCAUAAUAUUGAUUAUUGCAUGAUAAUUGAUUGAAAGAUGCUAUUGCAUCACUACCAGAUGGACCUGCGUUGUAUUAGCUAGUAGGUGAGGUAACGGCUCACCUAGGCGACGAUACAUAGCCGACCUGAGAGGGUGAUCGGCCACACUGGGACUGAGACACGGCCCAGACUCCUACGGGAGGCAGCAGUAGGGAAUCUUCGGCAAUGGACGAAAGUCUGACCGAGCAACGCCGCGGGAGUGAAGAAGGUUUUCGGAUCGUAAAGCUCUGUUGUAAGAGAGGAACGGGUGUGAGAGUGGAAAGUCCACACUGUGACGGUAUCUUACCAGAAAGGGACGGCUAACUACGUG